UUAAGCGACUAAGCGUACACGGUGGAUGCCCUGGCAGUCAGAGGCGAUGAAGGACGUGCUAAUCUGCGAAAAGCGCCGGCGAGGUGAUAUGAACCCUUGACCCGGCGAUGUCCGAAUGGGGAAACCCAGUGCAAUCCGUUGCACUAUCGUUAACUGAAUACAUAGGUUAACGAGGCGAACCGGGGGAACUGAAACAUCUAAGUACCCCGAGGAAAAGAAAUCAACCGAGAUUCCCCCAGUAGCGGCGAGCGAACGGGGAGCAGCCCGGAGUCUGAAUCAGCUUGUGUGUUAGUGGAACGGUCUGGAAAGUCCGACGGUACAGGGUGAUAGUCCCGUACACGAAAGCACACUUGCUGUGAACUCGAAGAGUAGGGCGGGACACGUGGUAUCCUGUCUGAAUAUGGGGGGACCAUCCUCCAAGGCUAAAUACUCCUGACUGACCGAUAGUGAACCAGUACCGUGAGGGAAAGGCGAAAAGAACCCCGGCGAGGGGAGUGAAAAAGAACCUGAAACCGUGUACGUACAAGCAGUGGGAGCCUCUUUAUGGGGUGACUGCGUACCUUUUGUAUAAUGGGUCAGCGACUUAUAUUCUGUAGCAAGGUUAACCGUAUAGGGGAGCCGAAGGGAAACCGAGUCUUAACUGGGCGUUAAGUUGCAGGGUAUAGACCCGAAACCCGGUGAUCUAGCCAUGGGCAGGUUGAAGGUUGGGUAACACUAACUGGAGGACCGAACCGACUAAUGUUGAAAAAUUAGCGGAUGACCUGUGGCUGGGGGUGAAAGGCCAAUCAAACCGGGAGAUAGCUGGUUCUCCCCGAAAGCUAUUUAGGUAGCGCCUCGUGAACUCAUCUUCGGGGGUAGAGCACUGUUUCGGCUAGGGGGCCAUCCCGGCUUACCAACCCGAUGCAAACUACGAAUACCGAAGAAUGUUAUCACGGGAGACACACGGCGGGUGCUAACGUCCGUCGUGAAGAGGGAAACAACCCAGACCGCCAGCUAAGGUCCCAAAGUCAUGGUUAAGUGGGAAACGAUGUGGGAAGGCACAGACAGCCAGGAUGUUGGCUUAGAAGCAGCCAUCAUUUAAAGAAAGCGUAAUAGCUCACUGGUCGAGUCGGCCUGCGCGGAAGAUGUAACGGGGCUAAACCAUGCACCGAAGCUGCGGCAGCGACACUUAUGUGUUGUUGGGUAGGGGAGCGUUCUGUAAGCCGUUGAAGGUGUGCUGUGAGGCAUGCUGGAGGUAUCAGAAGUGCGAAUGCUGACAUAAGUAACGAUAAAGCGGGUGAAAAGCCCGCUCGCCGGAAGACCAAGGGUUCCUGUCCAACGUUAAUCGGGGCAGGGUGAGUCGACCCCUAAGGCGAGGCCGAAAGGCGUAGUCGAUGGGAAACAGGUUAAUAUUCCUGUACUUGGUGUUACUGCGAAGGGGGGACGGAGAAGGCUAUGUCAGCCGGGCGACGGUUGUCCCGGUUUAAGCAUGUAGGCGGAGGUUCCAGGUAAAUCCGGUACCUUGUUAACGCUGAGGUGUGAUGACGAGGCACUACGGUGCUGAAGUGAUAAAUGCCCUGCUUCCAGGAAAAGCCUCUAAGCAUCAGGUAACACGAAAUCGUACCCCAAACCGACACAGGUGGUCAGGUAGAGAAUACCAAGGCGCUUGAGAGAACUCGGGUGAAGGAACUAGGCAAAAUGGUGCCGUAACUUCGGGAGAAGGCACGCUGAUGUGUAGGUGAAGCCCCUGCGGGUGGAGCUGAAAUCAGUCGAAGAUACCAGCUGGCUGCAACUGUUUAUUAAAAACACAGCACUGUGCAAACACGAAAGUGGACGUAUACGGUGUGACGCCUGCCCGGUGCCGGAAGGUUAAUUGAUGGGGUUAGCGGCAACGCGAAGCUCUUGAUCGAAGCCCCGGUAAACGGCGGCCGUAACUAUAACGGUCCUAAGGUAGCGAAAUUCCUUGUCGGGUAAGUUCCGACCUGCACGAAUGGCGUAAUGAUGGCCAGGCUGUCUCCACCCGAGACUCAGUGAAAUUGAACUCGCUGUGAAGAUGCAGUGUACCCGCGGCAAGACGGAAAGACCCCGUGAACCUUUACUAUAGCUUGACACUGAACACUGGUCCUUGAUGUGUAGGAUAGGUGGGAGGCUUUGAAGCGUGGACGCCAGUCUGCGUGGAGCCGACCUUGAAAUACCACCCUUUAAUGGCUGGUGUUCUAACGUAGACCUGUAAUCCGGGUUGCGGACAGUGUCUGGUGGGUAGUUUGACUGGGGCGGUCUCCUCCCAAAGAGUAACGGAGGAGCACGAAGGUUGGCUAAUCCUGGUCGGACAUCAGGAGGUUAGUGCAAUGGCAUAAGCCAGCUUGACUGCGAGCGUGACGGCGCGAGCAGGUGCGAAAGCAGGUCAUAGUGAUCCGGUGGUUCUGAAUGGAAGGGCCAUCGCUCAACGGAUAAAAGGUACUCCGGGGAUAACAGGCUGAUACCGCCCAAGAGUUCAUAUCGACGGCGGUGUUUGGCACCUCGAUGUCGGCUCAUCACAUCCUGGGGCUGAAGUAGGUCCCAAGGGUAUGGCUGUUCGCCAUUUAAAGUGGUACGCGAGCUGGGUUUAGAACGUCGUGAGACAGUUCGGUCCCUAUCUGCCGUGGGCGCUGGAGAAUUGAGGGGGGCUGCUCCUAGUACGAGAGGACCGGAGUGGACGCAUCACUGGUGUUCGGGUUGUCAUGCCAAUGGCACUGCCCGGUAGCUAAAUGCGGAAGAGAUAAGUGCUGAAAGCAUCUAAGCACGAAACUUGCCCCGAGAUGAGUUCUCCCUGAGACCUUGAGUCUCCUGAAGGAACGUUAAAGACUAUGACGUUGAUAGGUCGGGUGUGUAAGCGCAGCGAUGCGUUGAGCUAACCGAUACUAAUGAACCGUGAGGCUUAACCUU
Molecule: ribosomal RNA, 2904 nt
Filed under: Enterobacter cloacae
Lineage: Bacteria; Pseudomonadati; Pseudomonadota; Gammaproteobacteria; Enterobacterales; Enterobacteriaceae
Also listed under: 1 other name
Description: bacterial LSU rRNA
Rfam family: Bacterial large subunit ribosomal RNA
Source: RNAcentral